GACGAACGCUGGCGGCGUGCCUAAUACAUGCAAGUAGAACGCUGAAGAGAGGAGCUUGCUCUUCUUGGAUGAGUUGCGAACGGGUGAGUAACGCGUAGGUAACCUGCCUUGUAGCGGGGGAUAACUAUUGGAAACGAUAGCUAAUACCGCAUAACAAUGGAUGACACAUGUCAUUUAUUUGAAAGGGGCAAUUGCUCCACUACAAGAUGGACCUGCGUUGUAUUAGCUAGUAGGUGAGGUAAUGGCUCACCUAGGCGACGAUACAUAGCCGACCUGAGAGGGUGAUCGGCCAAACGGGGAAUGGGACCCGGCCCAGACUCCUACGGGAGGCAGCAGUAGGGAAUCUUCGGCAAUGGGGGCAACCCUGACCGAGCAACGCCGCGUGAGUGAAGAAGGUUUUCGGAUCGUAAAGCUCUGUUGUAAGUCAAGAACGGGUGCGAGAGUGGAAAGUUCACACUGUGACGGUAGCUUACCAGAAAGGGACGGCUAACUACGUG
This 497-nucleotide ribosomal RNA is filed under the name uncultured bacterium. RNAcentral's name for it is "partial 16S ribosomal RNA". It matches the Rfam family "Bacterial small subunit ribosomal RNA", at positions 28 to 507 of the family's 1533-position model. The record is from RNAcentral.